CUGGAAUGUGGAGGGGUGGUAACAGUCCUCACUGCAGAGCCUGGAUGUUUUGUGAUGUCUGACUAAUGCUGCUAGGAGAGGACAUAGGAAAGAAAAGAGUUAUCCAACUUACAGGAAGCAAAGAAGAUAUGAUUGCAAAGGGCUGGCACUGCUUAUGGUUUAAAGACAGACACAAUUUAGAUACCAGUGAGAUCCCAUUGCAGUCAUUCAUGUUUAUAUAGAAGAUGGAGCUUAAUGAGGUCUGUGUGGUCACAGAAAGAUAAAACACUGUGAGAUCAGAUGUGGCCCUGUGUUGUGUGUGAGAGCAAGACCUUUGAGCUUUCACGUGCUUCCUUACUUUACAAGUUCUGAACUCCUGAUGAAUGGCUUGUAACCUUUCAAGCAUCCCUUUGAAGUACCCACUGAAGCAGAGGGGAAGCAAGAGUGGUGUUUCAAACAUACUUACAAGCUGGCACUUGUUGAGAACACCAAACCCGAACUGCCUUUGGAAAAUUAAUCAACAGAAUUUUAUGAAGAGAAGGAAAACCAGAAAAAGUUGUCCAAAGUACUUUUAUGAAGAAUUAUAA
Molecule: long non-coding RNA, 566 nt
Filed under: Coturnix japonica (Japanese quail)
Lineage: Eukaryota; Metazoa; Chordata; Aves; Galliformes; Phasianidae
Description: lncRNA (ENSCJPG00005006082.1)
Source: RNAcentral